Molecule: long non-coding RNA, 724 nt
Organism: Piliocolobus tephrosceles (Ugandan red Colobus)
Lineage: Eukaryota; Metazoa; Chordata; Mammalia; Primates; Cercopithecidae
Exons: 3
Source: RefSeq, a predicted model, not a curated record
GAAACCAGCCAAGGCAAUGUGAUGGAUUCCAAGAGAGGCAAUAUGGAUGAAACCAUUUAUUAGAUUUAUAAGAGCUGGAGGAAAGUGGUAAAGCUAUCCAUCUUCUAUACUUUAUUGAGAACAGGACCAAUGACUCAGACUAUCAGGACAGUAUCUCCAAGACAGAAUUGAAAUCCUAAAGUAAGCGGAGAAUAAGUGCAUACAUUUUAGGAGAAGAGGGAUCAAAGGCAGAAGUAAGAAAUGCACGGGUGUCAGCUGUGACCCUCGAAGGAAAGGAAUCACCCUCUUUCUGACCCUAUACCACCUUCAGCAGGGAUGAAGGCAGUGAGAGAAAAGUGAGUUAAAAAAUUUCUAAAAUGCUUUGCAGAUUUGAUCUGGGGCCUUGGAGUGCCAGCAUCCUGUGAUAGUGGCUGAUUGUUGAUGCCUGGGAGGAUAGAGCAGUGAUGAUCCAAAUUUACAAGACUCAUAAUGAUUUUCAAAACCUCCUUUUAAAAAAGAUGUUCCUGAGUUCUGGAAUCUGAAUGAAAUAUGUCUGGUUAUUAUAUAAUUCUAAUGAUCCUUGUGGAUGCUACUAUUAGAGUUCAGUUAGUAUCUCAUCUAUCAGUGUAAUAUUUGUGUUGUAAUACUAAUCAUGGCAAAGUAUGAUUUGAUAAAUGCUCAUUCUCAAAUCUUUUAUUUUAGUGUGUUCAUGUAAGAUUAAUGACCAUGAUGACUUGAGAUAGAA